This 1007-nucleotide long non-coding RNA is filed under the name Apteryx rowi (Okarito brown kiwi). Its description in RNAcentral is "lncRNA (ENSARWG00000017461.1)". Lineage: Eukaryota; Metazoa; Chordata; Aves; Apterygiformes; Apterygidae. The record is from RNAcentral.
GAGGGGGCCGCGACCCGCGCCGGGGUGAGCGGCCGGGGGGCCGGGGUGGGUCUGCAGCCCCUCGCUGCUCCCCGAGGCUCCUCGGCUUCCCGCCGGGCCGGGCACCGGCGCCUGGGGGUGCGGGCUCCGGUCCCCGCACACGGGCACGCUCUGGAUGUGUCCGGUUGGCUGUCUGGCGGCUGUCUAGCACGCUGGUGCUGGCAGCUUGGCCCCCGCUGGGAAAAGGAGCAAGGUAAAAAUUUCCUGUGCUGUGUUCGGGUGCUUUUCUGACCAGCUCGCUUCAAGUAUGCUGCCCUGCGUAUUUGAAAAGGGAAAAGUGAGUAUGCUCUAGAGCUGAUCAGAAAAUAUGAAUAUAAGCUCGUUCUUCUCUUCUGACCUCGUGUCUUGUUACGGAAACACUUGGUGCCAUUUGGACAUCUCGACAUUUCAGGCAUCUGCUGUGGGAGCUACUGCAAAAAAGAAACCCAAAACACAGCUGUCCUCAGAGUUGAGGGAUCUGUCUGUGGGCUAUUCUUGCACCUCUCUUUAAACCUACUGACUCUCAUACAAGACAGCGGAUUUUUCUUACUUUAUUUCAGCCAGCAAGCCAAAAAGCAAUGACUAACUGCCUUGGUAGCUAAAGAAACAGGUAGUCUUAAUGCUAAAACCUGUGAGUAGGCAAUUGUUUCCUUGCUUUUCUCUGUUCUUUCUUGUGGUAUUUUGUUCUGUCAUGUGAUUUCUGCCAUCCAGAUAGAUACAUCCUUGGAGCCGCUGGAGAAGCCUUCCAGCAGUUGCCCUGGAAGGGAAAGCAGGUGUCCCCAGCCAGGUGAAUAGCCUAGACUCCACAUGCCUGUUCAGAAAGUGGCCUCCUCCUGCCUUGUGCUGCCUGAGAGGGAAUGGAGUAAGAGCUUUUCUCCCAGCGGCCUGUUUGGAAGGUGAGGGGGGACGUGUCUGAGUCCCAUUGCUCUGCAGACACAAAUCUGAAGCCUUCUGCUACGUUGCGGUACAGGUACCCGGCCAUAGGGGUG